CGUGGAGAACCUGCCGUAUACUGGGGGAUAACACUUAGAAAUAGGUGCUAAUACCGCAUAAGCGCACAGCUUCGCAUGAAGCAGUGUAGGAAAAACAAAAAGCUAAAGUCUUUUGGUGGUAUACGAUGGAUCCGCGUCUGAUUAGCUAGUUGGCGGGGUAAAGGCCCACCAAGGCGACGAUCAGUAGCCGGCCUGAGAGGGUGAACGGCCACAUUGGGACUGAGACACGGCCCAAACUCCUACGGAAGGCAGCAG
This 255-nucleotide ribosomal RNA is filed under the name uncultured bacterium. Its description in RNAcentral is "partial 16S ribosomal RNA". It matches the Rfam family "Bacterial small subunit ribosomal RNA", at positions 116 to 354 of the family's 1533-position model. The record is from RNAcentral.